UAGGGAAUCUUCCACAAUGGACGCAAGUCUGAUGGAGCAACGCCGCGUGAGUGAAGAAGGUUUUCGGACCGUAAAGCUCUGUUGUUGGUGAAGAAGGAUAGAGGUAGUAACUGGCCUUUAUUUGACGGUAAUCAACCAGAAAGUCACGGCUAACUACGUGCCAGCAGCCGCGGUAAUACGUAGGUGGCAAGCGUUGUCCGGAUUUAUUGGGCGUAAAGCGAGCGCAGGCGGAAGAAUAAGUCUGAUGUGAAAGCCCUCGGCUUAACCGAGGAAUUGCAUCGGAAACUGUUUUUCUUGAGUGCAGAAGAGGAGAGUAGAACUCCAUGUGUAGCGGUGGAAUGCGUAGAUAUAUGGAAGAAUACCAGUGGCGAAGGCGGCUCUCUGGUCUGCAACUGACGCUGAGGCUCGAAAGCAUGGGUAGCGAACAGGAUUAGAUACCCUGGUAGUCCAUGCCGUAAACGAUGAGUGCUAAGU
RNAcentral lists this ribosomal RNA (474 nucleotides) under uncultured bacterium. RNAcentral's name for it is "partial 16S ribosomal RNA". It matches the Rfam family "Bacterial small subunit ribosomal RNA", at positions 355 to 821 of the family's 1533-position model. The record is from RNAcentral.